Molecule: ribosomal RNA, 566 nt
Filed under: Penicillium compactum
Lineage: Eukaryota; Fungi; Ascomycota; Eurotiomycetes; Eurotiales; Aspergillaceae
Description: eukaryotic LSU rRNA
Rfam family: 5.8S ribosomal RNA (bases 208-360)
Source: RNAcentral
UUUCCGUAGGUGAACCUGCGGAAGGAUCAUUACCGAGUGAGGGCCCUCUGGGUCCAACCUCCCACCCGUGUUUAUUUACCUUGUUGCUUCGGCGGGCCCGCCUUAACUGGCCGCCGGGGGGCUUACGCCCCCGGGCCCGCGCCCGCCGAAGACACCCUCGAACUCUGUCUGAAGAUUGUAGUCUGAGUAUAAAUAUAAAUUAUUUAAAACUUUCAACAACGGAUCUCUUGGUUCCGGCAUCGAUGAAGAACGCAGCGAAAUGCGAUACGUAAUGUGAAUUGCAAAUUCAGUGAAUCAUCGAGUCUUUGAACGCACAUUGCGCCCCCUGGUAUUCCGGGGGGCAUGCCUGUCCGAGCGUCAUUGCUGCCCUCAAGCCCGGCUUGUGUGUUGGGCCCCGUCCUCCGAUUCCGGGGGACGGGCCCGAAAGGCAGCGGCGGCACCGCGUCCGGUCCUCGAGCGUAUGGGGCUUUGUCACCCGCUCUGUAGGCCCGGCCGGCGCUUGCCGAUCAACCCAAAUUUUUAUCCAGGUUGACCUCGGAUCAGGUAGGGAUACCCGCUGAACUUAA